UAUAGUACUUAUCAUGAAGAGUCUAUAGUAGUGUAUGACAUAUUUAGUACAAUAAAUUGAUUAAUGUUAGAUGAUAAUAAAAAUAAAUCAACUUUGCUUGGUGUAUGGCUUUAAAAGCUGUACACAUUUACAUCCCCCUCACAAUAAGGGGACCCACAAAUAUUUAAUUCAUGUGGAUCCGUCAAUAUGUGAGGGGAUUGUACACCAUGGUGUACAAAUGACUUUUUCCAAAAUAAAUUAUCAUCUAUUCCUGUGAAAUCAUAAAUUACAUCAUUAUCCCCGACAAAAUCUCUUUCGAAAUUGGCAAUAAUUAUUUGAGUGCAUCAAUUUUUGAUACAUCCAGUCUAAGAAAAAUGAACGUGCAGGUAUAAAUCAAUCACCCAAAAAAAAAAAAAAAAUCCCAUCCCUACAAUUUUCCAAAAUGAAGAAGUAAAUUUAUCUCUCGAUCGAUUGCACCAGGCUUUAGAUGUAAACAUUUCUGACCAUCUGAUUUGAUUACUGUGGCGCAGUAAUAUGUGAAGGACAAGUUGGCACCCCAGAAGCAGAUGACUGUAUGUCUAUUGGGGCAAAAUUCCAACAUAGGCAAGAAAAAAGGCAAAUAUCAUGUGGGAUAAUAAAUGCAAGCAUUCUUGCCCUUGCCAAACUAUUUAAGAGGUAUGAAUGUUUGAUCAAGCUGAGGUGACAUCUCUUUACUAGGGUUAUGGUAUACUUCCCCUAAUCUUUGAUGCAUUUCUCCGCUGAUUAUUUGUUUGGUACAGUAGACUGAACAAUUUUUUGAUUGUAUAAUCAAGUCUCUGUUUGAUGGAAGGAAUUCACCUAGUUCUUCUAAGCAAUAUGACUUGCUUCAUUAUCAAAUAACUGUUUUCUUUUGUCGAGUGCUGAAUAUGGGCUUUGAAUUUGGUUGGGGUCCUUUCACCAUCGUGCUACAAUGCCAUGAUAAUUAUUGUGAAAUGGAUUGCGCUUAGAAAAUUAGUAAGGUGCUCUAAUACGGCCAAAAUUUUUNAUCAUGUGGGAUAUUAAAUGCAAGCACACUUGCCCUUGCCAAACUAUUUAAGAGGUAUGAAUGUUUGAUCAAGCUGAGGUGACAUCUCUUUACUAGGGUUAUGGUAUACUUCCCCUAAUCUUUGAUGCAUUUUCUCCGCUGAUUAUUUGUUUUGUACAGUAGACUGAACAAUUUGUCGAUUGUAUAAUCAAAUCUCUGUUUGAUGGAAGGAAUUCACCAAGUUCUUCUAAGCAAUAUGACUUGCUUCAUUAUCAAAUAACUGUUUUCUUUUGUCGAGUGCUG
This 1285-nucleotide long non-coding RNA is filed under the name Olea europaea subsp. europaea. The record is from RNAcentral. Lineage: Eukaryota; Viridiplantae; Streptophyta; Magnoliopsida; Lamiales; Oleaceae.